RNAcentral lists this ribosomal RNA (934 nucleotides) under Daptonema oxycerca. RNAcentral's name for it is "SSU rRNA". It matches the Rfam family "Eukaryotic small subunit ribosomal RNA", at positions 53 to 995 of the family's 1831-position model. Lineage: Eukaryota; Metazoa; Nematoda; Chromadorea; Monhysterida; Xyalidae. The record is from RNAcentral.
GCAUGUCUAAGCAUAAACUAAUCUAAAGUGAAGCCGCGAAUAGCUCAUUACAACAGCCGUUGUUUCUUGGAUCUCCGUCUUACUUGGAUAACUGUGGUAAUUCUAGAGCUAAUACAUGCAGCCGAGCUCUGACUUCACAGGAAGAGCGCAUUUAUUAGAUCAAAACCAAUCGGCUCCGGCCGUUUCUGGUGAAUCUGAAUAACUACGCAGAUCGCUUAGGUUUUAUACCGGCGACAAAUCCUUCAAGUGUCUGCCUUAUCAACUUUCGAUGGUAGUUUUUAAGCCUACCAUGGUGACGACGGGUAACGGAGAAUUAGGGUUCGACUCCGGAGAGGGAGCCUGAGAAACGGCUACCACUUCUAAGGAAGGCAGCAGGCGCGCAAAUUACCCACUCUCGGAAAGAGGAGGUAGUGACGAAAAAUAACGAGAUAACCCGCUCUAGCGAGUUAUCAUCGGAAUGAGAACAAUCUAAAUCCUUUAACGAGGACCUAGCGGAGGGCAAGUCUGGUGCCAGCAGCCGCGGUAAUUCCAGCUCCGCCAGUGUAUAUCUAUGCUGCUGCGGUUAAAAAGCUCGUAGUUGGAUCUUCGUGCUUGAAAUCGGUCCACCUUUGUGGUGUGCACUGACUUUCGGCACUAAAUCGUCGGUUUUCCCUUGAUGCCUUUAACCGGGUGUCCUGGGUGGCUGACAUGUUUACUUUGAAAAAAUUAGAGUGCUCAAAACAAGCGAUUCGCUUGAAUAUUCGUGCAUGGAAUAAUAGAAUAGGUCCUUGGUUCUAUUUUGUUGGUUUUCAGAGCACAAGGAAAUGAUUAAGAGGGACAGACGGGGGCAUUCGUACUCCGACGUUAGAGGUGAAAUUCUUGGAUCGUCGGAUGACGCACUACUGCGAAAGCAUUUGCCAAGAAUGUUUUCAUUAAUCAAGAACGAAAGUUAGAG